AGUUUAACAAAACUAACAGCUCUUUCAAGAUUAUGUGGUAGGUGGUGCAUGGCCGUUCUUAGUUCGUGAAGUGAUUCGUUCGCCCAAUCGCAUUUCCAAACAACUAACAACUCAGAAUGCUGGGCAAUAGGACGUUUAAAGUGGCUCCUUACACCUUACAAAGGAAUGGCUGAUGAGAAACAACUCGAUCCGCUCAGCGUUCUAUUGGAAUGCAACGGACGUGAUUGCAAGCUUUUGUUUUGAGUUGCGG
This 250-nucleotide ribosomal RNA is filed under the name Globigerinoides sacculifer. RNAcentral describes it as "partial 18S ribosomal RNA". Lineage: Eukaryota; Foraminifera; Rotaliida; Globigerinidae. The record is from RNAcentral.